UCAGAGAGGUGUAUUUCUGUUCUUCCAAAAUAUUGUUGUUUAUUUGUGUGUUUUUCACUUUUCGAAGAUCGAGUACAAUUAUGGAAAACUGCGACCUGCUGCCGAUUAUAUUCGAUAUUGUUGUGGGUUUAUUAUUUCCAAAGAGCGGAGAUGACGUUGAUAUGGAUGGAUCCGGAGAAAUGCCCUGAAUUCUUCAAAUUGUAUUGAUUCUUAAAUCAAUGCUUCUACAUAUACCUACACAAACCGUUCCUGAAAUUUACUAAUUUAUUAGCUAAAUCACUUGGUGCACAUAAUAUUAUUUAACAAUGAUAUACAAAUGUCAAUAAAAAAAUAACGGCCACCAAA
Sitodiplosis mosellana (orange wheat blossom midge) is the source of this 345-nucleotide long non-coding RNA. RefSeq lists it as uncharacterized. The record is from RefSeq and is a predicted model, not a curated record. NCBI's taxonomy places the organism in Eukaryota, Metazoa, Arthropoda, Insecta, Diptera, Cecidomyiidae. The transcript is spliced from 2 exons.